GGAUUAAUAGUUUAUUUAAAACGUAAAUUUUGUAAAUUUAUAAUAUUAUAUAAUUUUAUAUUUUUUAGUCCA
RNAcentral lists this transfer RNA (72 nucleotides) under Ampulex compressa. RNAcentral's name for it is "tRNA-Thr". Lineage: Eukaryota; Metazoa; Arthropoda; Insecta; Hymenoptera; Ampulicidae. The record is from RNAcentral.